GAAGAUGUAGUAUAAAUAAUUACAUACCAUUUACACUGGUAAAAUUCUUAGUGACAUUUUCU
This 62-nucleotide transfer RNA is filed under the name Patella vulgata (common limpet). RNAcentral describes it as "tRNA-Val". The record is from RNAcentral. Lineage: Eukaryota; Metazoa; Mollusca; Gastropoda; Patellidae.